RNAcentral lists this ribosomal RNA (1300 nucleotides) under uncultured prokaryote. RNAcentral describes it as "partial 16S ribosomal RNA". It matches the Rfam family "Bacterial small subunit ribosomal RNA". The record is from RNAcentral.
GGCAGGCUUAACACAUGCAAGUCGAGGGGUAACAGGGAGCUUGCUCCGCUGACGACCGGCGCACGGGUGCGUAACGCGUAUAGAACCUACCUUUUACUGGAGAAUAGCCUUUAGAAAUGAAGAUUAAUGCUCCAUAGUAUUGCGACUCGGCAUCGGGUUGUAAUUAAAUUUAUUGGUAAAAGAUGGCUAUGCGUCCUAUUAGUUAGAUGGUAAGGUAACGGCUUACCAUGACAUCGAUAGGUAGGGGUCCUGAGAGGGAGAUCCCCCACACUGGUACUGAGACACGGACCAGACUCCUACGGGAGGCAGCAGUGAGGAAUAUUGGGCAAUGGAGGCAACUCUGACCCAGCCAUGCCGCGUGCAGGAAGACGGCCCUAUGGGUUGUAAACUGCUUUUAUACAGGAAGAAACACUGGUAUGUAUACCAGCUUGACGGUACUGUAAGAAUAAGGACCGGCUAACUCCGUGCCAGCAGCCGCGGUAAUACGGAGGGUCCGAGCGUUAUCCGGAAUCAUUGGGUUUAAAGGGUCCGUAGGCGGGAAUCUAAGUCAGUGGUGAAAUCUUGCAGCUCAACUGUAAAAUUGCCAUUGAUACUGGAUUUCUUGAAUGCGUGGGGAGCGAACAGGAUUAGAUCCCCUGGUAGUCCACGCCGUAAACGAUGGAUACUAGCUGUUCGAUCUUCGGAUUGAGUGGCUAAGCGAAAGUGAUAAGUAUCCCACCUGGGGAGUACGUUCGCAAGAAUGAAACUCAAAGGAAUUGACGGGGGCCCGCACAAGCGGUGGAGCAUGUGGUUUAAUUCGAUGACACGCGAGGAACCUUACCAGGGCUUAAAUGCAUUUUGACAGGGGUAGAGAUACCUUUUGCUUCGGGCAAUUUGCAAGGUGCUGCAUGGUUGUCGUCAGCUCGUGCCGUGAGGUGUCAGGUUAAGUCCUAUAACGAGCGCAACCCCUACCGUUAGUUGCCAGCGAGUCAUGUCGGUGACUCUAACGGGACUGCCGGUUCAAACCGUGAGGAAGGUGGGGAUGACGUCAAAUCAUCACGGCCCUUACGUCCUGGGCCACACACGUGCUACAAUGGCCGGUACAGAGAGCAGCCACUUGGCAACAAGGAGCGAAUCUAUAAAACCGGCCACAGUUCGGAUCGGGGUCUGCAACUCGACCCCGUGAAGCUGGAAUCGCUAGUAAUCGGAUAUCAGCCAUGAUCCGGUGAAUACGUUCCCGGGCCUUGUACACACCGCCCGUCAAGCCAUGGAAGCUGGGAGUGCCUGAAGUUCGUCACCGCAAGGAGCGACCUAGGGCAAG